UAAUCUUACGUUAUCAGCUCUUAUUGGACACAUUGGCUGCCAGUUUAGCGGGGGGGGGGAGAGAAAACUCAGGCGCUCCAUUUUUAUUGGCCAGAAGUCUGUCAAUCACCUGGAGUGGGGGCGAGAACUCCGCCUGUGCCCCUUUGUGACUAGAUGAUCGGCCUGUCGAUCAGAGGAAAAAGGAAGAGGCGGGACAAGGCCCCAGGAAGCACCUUUUGACGGGAGGAACGAACUGCCUGUCAAAUAAAAAGAAGGGGAAAGGAGCAAGUUCGAAUGUUGUUGGCGGUAGAAAAGGCGCCGGGGAGGAGGGGCUAGAACCCCCAGCCUCGUCCCGCCCUCAGGGCCGAGGAGGAGGAGGCCACCAGCGAGAGCGCCUCUCCCAGCAUGCAGCGCGCCCGGCGGGCAGCGGUAUCUCCCGGCAUGCCCCGCUCUGCCCCGGCGCGCGGCCGAGGUGAGGCCUCCCCGCAGCGCUCCGCCGCCCCCGCAGGCAGCCGGGGCUGGGCCCGUCCGCCGCGCGGCCGGAAGCGGGAGUGGCGCUGGCGCUGCCCGCUCCUGCCGGCCGGGCUGGUUCCUCCGGCGGGGCAGCGCCUCCGUUGGCGCGAGUCCGGCCGCGGCCGCCGCCGCCCCGUCGGGGCCUGUCGGGCGGGCAGGGGCCUGAGGCCGCUCGCGCGUGGCUUCCUUACCAGGCCGCUUUUCUCCGCCGGCCGGGCCAGCGGGAGCCCAGUCGCUCCCCAGGUUCUGCUUCUGCGGCUCCUCGGCUGGUGCUCGCCGUUUCCUGCCGAUUCGGAGCAGCUGCCCGACCCCCAGCGUGGCCGGCCGCGCGCAGACGUGGACCUCGGUGCCUUGGCCGCUGGCGGCCACGAGGGUGAAGGGUUCUGCUGUGGUCGUUUCAACGGAACGUGUAAAAUGUCCCUAAACUCUCCGCUGAAUUGUUACAGCCUGGGGACCAUACCGCACUUCUUAAAGUGGUUCAAGACCUAGGGAUGUGAAGCAGCGUGUGGAAGCGAAUGACUCUUAUUAUUUAUUGAGAGACCUGUAACACACAGUUGUGGACUUUCCAAAUAUAAAAAAGUGCCAACUUCUUCCUUAAAAUUGAGGUACAGCUCUGCUCUUUUUCUGUUGGAGCCAUCCCGUUGCAAGGCCAGCCUCCGCUGGGAGAGUGGGAAAGGUGAUAUUUGGCAAGGGACUCCCAAGUUGAGAGAAUUUGUUUGGGAGGGUUAACGAAUGUAUUUGAUGCUAAGCUUCGAGGAAAACACUUUCAGGACUUUCCAGGAGCUGAAUUUAGAUUUCCUGAUGAUAGGCACCUUUUAGAAAUAAAUAUUGUCAGUGCCCACCAGUCCAGUAUCCCCACCAAGGGCUUGUGAUAUCAGCUCCUUUGCACAGUCAGAGCCAGAAUCAUUUUUUUUUCCAUGGGUCACAGCAGGAGGCAUCAUUGGUUUUAGUUUGGAACUAUUUUUAAUUGGGCUGAAACAACACUAACUGAGGAAGAGUAGAGUGCACAAACAGAGGGGAGAGCAAAGGUUUCUGCUGCAUUCCCCUCUCUCUUGCAGUGCUGGCUCAGAGGUGGACUUGGGUCCCAGAUACUUACUUAUCCAUUGAACUGUGCAUGCUUCGAGGGACAGCAGAAUGUGGGGUAUGCCACGAUCUGAUGCUGGACUCAUCUUACAAGUCUACAAUUUGGAAUGUUACAGACUCUAUGGCGUGCCAGGCCUCACAAAGGGGGAGGCAUUGUGCUGGAGCUGAACACAAAAGUAGCUGGGCCCCACAUACAUUUCUACUGCUUAGGAAACUAGCUAGUCCACAAGCAGAUGUCACGUGGGGCUGGCAACUGUCUAAGCUUUGGGAAAAGUUGCUGGGAUACUGUGCCUGGAACGGGGUGGGAGGGGGGACGUUUCUGGCUACUGGGAAAUCUAAGUUCACCUCCCACAUGGUGGGAACCACCUGACUUUCCUGACCUGCCCUUCUGACACCCCUGCCGCCAGCCCCAUCCACUCCUGGUUCCCAACUCCUCCCUCCAGCUGGGAAUUAACAGAGGAGAGGUAGGUUGCUCUGGUUGCUGAGUAACAGCCAGCAUGGAGGGUCCCCUCAGCUUGGGGUGCUCUGGUAGCUCACCUUGUUUGGGGGAGGAGAGGUACUACAGGACACUGAGGAUGAGUAUACUAAGUUUAAUGUAGGGAGGGGCACUGUAGGGGAAGGGAUGGAGGUCAGGAGUCCUUUGAGGGAGAGAGGCUAGAAAGUCAUUUGGUUGUCGGGGAAGGGUAAGGGAAGAUCACAUAUGAUAACUCCCUCCGGUAAUAAACACCUUCAGACUGACCCCCGACCUAACCUGCUCCCUACCUCAGCUACAAAGCCCCCCUGCAGUGCCAGGGAUAAGCACCUACACCUCGGAGCCUACCACCAUUUGCCAAACUCUCUCAAAUUUCCACAUCAGUAUUAGCCCCCAACCUAAAGCCAGUGCCGAAGCUGUCACAGCCUUACCUUGACUCCCCCCACUCUGUUGACAGUACUAAGGGAGCUUCCCUUCAGGAUUCUAGGCUGGUCCCCCCUACGUGAAAUAAAAAUGGCUUUCUAAUCUUG
Molecule: long non-coding RNA, 2577 nt
Organism: Chelonia mydas (Green sea turtle)
Lineage: Eukaryota; Metazoa; Chordata; Testudines; Cheloniidae
Exons: 2
Source: RefSeq, a predicted model, not a curated record